UAAGACUUGAUAUUGGAACGAAGUAUGAUUGACUUCUUGAUUUUAACCAUUUCCCAAAUUCUUGAUUCCUCUUCUUAGACAUACAAACGCACUAAGACUCACUUAGAGGAUCAAUUGAGAUAUGGCUCUUAAUCAUUAAGACUUAUCAUAAAGCACAAUAAAAGAUACUCUCCCUUCUUCUUAGAAUGGAGAAACUUUUAUCUUUCUUCCUUCUUGAUUCUUCUUAUUCGUUCUGCUAUUCAUUGAAACUCUUUCAAUCAACUCAGAAUUACAUUUAAUCUUAUAAGUAUAAUCAUAUUUACUAAACUUUAGUAAAUCAUGAUGAAUAUCUUUGUCACUCUUGUGGUGGACUUGAUCAACACACAACCUAGUGUGCUCGAUCUCCUAGUCCUUCACUUGACACUUUGUCAAAGAAUUAGUCUAAUUUCCAAAAUAUGGAGUGUCUCAUUCAUCACGCAACCAAGUUGUAUGAUUCCAAGUUU
Molecule: long non-coding RNA, 482 nt
Filed under: Lactuca sativa (garden lettuce)
Lineage: Eukaryota; Viridiplantae; Streptophyta; Magnoliopsida; Asterales; Asteraceae
Description: long non-coding RNA (LSAT_LNC008791)
Source: RNAcentral